GUGUACCACUCGUACGCUGCGUUUCCCGCGCGCCGCCCACGCACAUCCGGCGGCUGCCGGCUCAAGGUGGUGUCGGCU
Molecule: small RNA, 78 nt
Filed under: Xanthomonas arboricola
Lineage: Bacteria; Pseudomonadati; Pseudomonadota; Gammaproteobacteria; Lysobacterales; Lysobacteraceae
Description: sX9 sRNA
Rfam family: Xanthomonas sRNA sX9
Source: RNAcentral